CCCCUGAAGAAUUCCAAGCUCAAAAUCCUUUACCCCUGAAGAAUUCCAAGCUCAAAAUCCUUUACCCCUGAAGAAUUCCAAGCUCGAAUCCUUUACCCCUGAAGAAUUCCAAGCUCAAAAUCCUUUACCCCUGAAGAAUUCCAAGCUCAAAACACUCUACCCCUGAAGAAUUCCAGGUAUCCUCGACAGGGGGGGGUACGGAUAUUAAAUGGAAUAGCCCAUUU
Paramuricea clavata is the source of this 224-nucleotide non-coding RNA. The record is from the annotation of a GenBank genome assembly. NCBI's taxonomy places the organism in Eukaryota, Metazoa, Cnidaria, Anthozoa, Malacalcyonacea, Plexauridae.